This 155-nucleotide ribosomal RNA is filed under the name Gluconacetobacter liquefaciens. RNAcentral describes it as "partial 16S rRNA". It matches the Rfam family "Bacterial small subunit ribosomal RNA", at positions 1211 to 1366 of the family's 1533-position model. Lineage: Bacteria; Pseudomonadati; Pseudomonadota; Alphaproteobacteria; Acetobacterales; Acetobacteraceae. The record is from RNAcentral.
GGGCUACACACGUGCUACAAUGGCGGUGACAGUGGGAAGCCAGGUAGCGAUGCCGAGCUGAUCUCAAAAAGCCGUCUCAGUUCGGAUUGCACUCUGCAACUCGAGUGCAUGAAGGUGGAAUCGCUAGUAAUCGCGGAUCAGCAUGCCGCGGUGAA